ACUUAUACAGGGUAGCAUAUUGGGCUACUGUUCCGCCUCAAGACCAAUCUUGAGACUAUAAGU
RNAcentral lists this non-coding RNA (63 nucleotides) under Mesoplasma florum L1. RNAcentral describes it as "2dG-I riboswitch aptamer (M. florum)". It matches the Rfam family "2dG-I riboswitch aptamer (M. florum)". The record is from Rfam by way of RNAcentral. Lineage: Bacteria; Bacillati; Mycoplasmatota; Mollicutes; Entomoplasmatales; Entomoplasmataceae.